AGUGAACGCUGGCGGUAUGCCUAACACAUGCAAGUCGAACGGCAGCACAGUAAGAGUUUGCUUUUACGGUUGGCGACUGGCGGACGGGUGACGCAUACAUCGGCAUCUACUUUUUCGUGGGUGAUUUCGUAAGGCAACUUCUGCUAAUACCUCAUAUUAUCUACCGCUUUAUUCAGGGGUUCUUCGCACCUUUCCCGUUUCUAUUAGCCGGUGUCGCAUUAGCUAGUUGGGUAGGUAAAGGCCCAACAAGGCGACGAUCCGUAGCUUAUCUGAGAGGGUGAUCAGCCACAAUGGAACUGAGACAAGGUCCAGACUACUAAGGGAGGCAGCAGUAGGGAAUAUUCGGAAAGGGGCGAAAGCCUGAAGGAGCAAAGCCGCGUGAGGGAAGAAGGGCUUCGGAUCGUAAAACUCGGUUAUUAGGGAAGAAAAGAUGUGGAAGUAAAACCGGAUGUUCUGACGGUACCCAAAGAGAAAGCAACGGCUAACUUCGUG
Molecule: ribosomal RNA, 492 nt
Filed under: uncultured bacterium
Lineage: Bacteria
Description: partial 16S ribosomal RNA
Rfam family: Bacterial small subunit ribosomal RNA
Source: RNAcentral